UUGGCUUUGGACUUAGGAUCCUGACCGUAAACCCGGAUUAUCGGUCUGCACCCCUUCAAACCCUCAAAAUGCGGAAGAUCUCUGAGAAUCAAGCAAUCCAAAAGAAGAGGAGUAUCCGAAGGAGGCCAAUCAGAUGUCAGGUUUCUUCUAGAAAUGUACUGAAGGUAUCUGAGCUGAGAAGGCUGAGGGUUAAGAGGAGAGAGUAUAUGAAGAAGCUCCUUGGGAGCUUGCUUGUGCACCAUCUCGAGCGUCUUCUGCUCGCCCUGAUACUGCUUUCUAUACAAUAACAGCCCUGAUAACAUGAAUGCGAGAACAGGCCAGCCGCCUUUCUCGCAGUGCAUCACUGAGUUUCUUGCUGCUUAGACUUUGGCUUCACUGAAUCUCCAGCCGGUUUUGCAUUUGCUCCGACCACUUUCCUCGGCGCAGCUUUUGUUUUGUCUGAUACAGAGAUGUUGAGAUUAGUAUUUGCUUUCUGAGUUGUAGACUCCAAAUCAUUCCCUUCUCCAUCACCAUUCUCCUUUGCUUCCACUGUCCUCUUUCUCUGCUCAUCACUAUCAUCUACCCCUAUAUCCUUCACUGAGUCAAUAGCCUUCCCAUCUGACCUAUACUGUACAUCAUCAACAGUUAUAUCUUUAACCGGAUCUGCGCUAGCCUCAUGUUUAUGAUUCGAAUCAUCAGAUGCGCAAUCAAGAAACGCAUUGGGCUCCACGUCCCCCUUCCACACCUCUUUACCCUCGGAAUCAUCUGAAGCACUAUCAACAACCACAAAACUAUCUGAGUCCUCUCUCUUCAAGUCAUGCCCAUCAAUCGCAUCGCUAAAAAUCUCCUCCACCUCAUAAAACUCCUCAGGCGAAGCCAUAUCAAAAUCGUUCUCAUCCUCAUCAUCUGAUACUGGGGCUGUUGCAAUAGCAGGCACCACGGUAUCAGCACCAGAGAAAAGCACCUGAGUAUGCAUUUCAAACUUUAACAGCCUCAUUUAAACAAAUAAUCAAAUAAAAUUUUCACACAAUGGCGGCAGGCGCUUACCUCUGCCUUGAACUCCUUUGGGAACAGGUCCUUGGCAUCCCAAAGUAUAUCCAUCUCAUCUCGUUCCACAAUUAAAAUAUUACCACGUACAAAUGCUGUGUGGAACAUGAUUCUAAAGACCAUCUCCUCACGCACCAAAUCGUCAUGCAAGUGUAUACAUUCCAGAACAACAUCCCCUUGAACACGGCACUGGAUGUCUAGUUUCACCAGGAUACACUCUUCCUGCAUGAUAAGAUCAAGCUAAUGAACAUUGUCUAGAGAGAAGCGUGUAGCUGCUAAUAAUAAAACCACACAAAAGAACUCAUAUACUAAACAAUGUCUUAUACAUAAAUAAAUGUGAUGAUCAUAUUCAUAUGCCUCCUCUGUUUCAAUCUAUUUGAUGUUUAAAGAUUUUUUUUUUUUUGUAGUAAACUAAGUGAUGUUCUCACUAUUCAGGAUUUGUGACCAAUUACAUAAUACUACUUUUUUUCUCUUUUUGGUUGAAUUACUUUUAUUUAAUGAUUUAUUACCUAUCCAAGAUAAAUUUUAUCAUUUCCUUAAUCUUUGUGCAUUAACCUUAAACACCUAGUAAAACGAAACAAGAGUGUGUGACAGAUACAAUGGUUUGAAAAAGUACCUGUUGGUAGAGACGAGUGUGUUUAUUCGUCUUUGGUGUGGAGAACAGAACCACAGAGCUCCUGUUGGCUUUGGACUUAGGAUCCUGACCGUAAACCCGGAUUAUCGGUCUGCACCCCUUCAAACCCUCAAAAUGCGGAAGAUCUCUGAGAAUCAAGCAAUCCAAAAGAAGAGGAGUAUCCGAAGGAGGCCAAUCAGAUGUCAGGUUUCUUCUAGAAAUGUACUGAAGGUAUCUGAGCUGAGAAGGCUGAGGGUUAAGAGGAGAGAGUAUAUGAAGAAGCUCCUUGGGAGCUUGCUUGUGCACCAUCUCGAGCGUCUUCUGCUCGCCCUGAUACUGCUUUCUAUACAAUAACAGCCCUGAUAACAUGAAUGCG
This 2015-nucleotide long non-coding RNA is filed under the name Brassica napus (rape). RNAcentral's name for it is "long non-coding RNA (BNAP_LNC010520)". The record is from RNAcentral. Lineage: Eukaryota; Viridiplantae; Streptophyta; Magnoliopsida; Brassicales; Brassicaceae.